GUUUGAUCCUGGCUCAGGAUGAACGCUAGCGGCAGGCCUAACACAUGCAAGUCGAGGGGUAGGUAUCUUCGGAUAUUGAGACCGGCGCACAGGUGCGUAACGCGUAUGCAAUCUACCUUUUACUAAGGGAUAGCCCAGAGAAAUUUGGAUUAAUACCUUAUAGUAUGUUUGAAUGGCAUCGUUUAAACAUUAAAGAUUUAUUGGUAAAAGAUGAGCAUGCGUCCCAUUAGUUAGUUGGUAAGGUAACGGCUUACCAAGACGAUGAUGGGUAGGGGUCCUGAGAGGGAGAUCCCCCACACUGGUACUGAGACACGGACCAGACUCCUACGGGAGGCAGCAGUGAGGAAUAUUGGUCAAUGGAGGCAACUCUGAACCAGCCAUGCCGCGUGCAGGAAGACGGUCCUAUGGAUUGUAAACUGCUUUUGUACAGGAAGAAAAAGUACCACGUGUGGUAUAUUGACGGUACUGUAAGAAUAAGGAUCGGCUAACUCCGUGCCAGCAGCCGCGGUAAUACGGAGGAUCCAAGCGUUAUCCGGAAUCAUUGGGUUUAAAGGGUCCGUAGGCGGCCUUAUAAGUCAGUGGUGAAAGUUUGCAGCUUAACUGUAAAAUUGCCAUUGAUACUGUAGGGCUUGAAUAAUUGUGAAGUAACUAGAAUAUGUAGUGUAGCGGUGAAAUGCUUAGAUAUUACAUGGAAUACCAAUUGCGAAGGCAGGUUACUAACAAUUUAUUGACGCUGAUGGACGAAAGCGUGGGUAGCGAACGGGAUUAGAUACCCUGGUAGUCCACGCCGUAAACGAUGGAUACUAGUUGUUCGGUAGCAAUACUGAGUGACUAAGCGAAAGUGAUAAGUAUCCCACCUGGGGAGUACGUUCGCNAGAAUGAAACUCANGGAAUUGACGG
RNAcentral lists this ribosomal RNA (900 nucleotides) under uncultured bacterium. RNAcentral's name for it is "bacterial SSU rRNA". It matches the Rfam family "Bacterial small subunit ribosomal RNA", at positions 11 to 916 of the family's 1533-position model. The record is from RNAcentral.